Rhincodon typus (whale shark) is the source of this 164-nucleotide long non-coding RNA. RefSeq lists it as uncharacterized. The transcript is spliced from 3 exons. The record is from RefSeq and is a predicted model, not a curated record. NCBI's taxonomy places the organism in Eukaryota, Metazoa, Chordata, Chondrichthyes, Orectolobiformes, Rhincodontidae.
CUCCUGGUGAGUUGUACAGUCGCUGAACAGAGCAUACAGCACUGGCUUUGUGCAGGCAGCACAAGGUUUGCAUGCUACCUGCAAAGGUCGUUAUGGCUGAAUUUUGCUUCACCCUGAGAAGAAAACUACUGGGAUGUUGGAAAUCUGAAACAGAAACAGAGAAU